This is a long non-coding RNA of Cyprinus carpio carpio, 734 nucleotides long. Lineage: Eukaryota; Metazoa; Chordata; Actinopteri; Cypriniformes; Cyprinidae. The record is from Ensembl.
UGUUGAGCACAAUGGUAUAAUGCAUUAGCAAAGGUUUACUGCAGUGAAAGAGAGAAAGAGAGGGAGGUGCAUGGAGUUCGCAUAGCUUUAGUCAAAAGCAGAUAUAAAAGUGCGCGGUUCUCCUCCCGUGCGCAACGUGCCAUUGUCCUUGCGCCUCUGGGAGAGGAUCUAAUAGCUGCUUGUGGAGGGAAGUGACAUGAGUGUUAUCACAAGAACCUCUGAUUGUUAUAUUGCCCUCCAGAUUGUUUGUUACCAACUGGAGAGACCAUUCAAUUUGAAUUUAUUUCAGAUUUUCUCAACCUGAAGCGGAAAUAUCGCAGACACAACUGUCCAAAGAAGCGCUGUCUACCUCUUCACUCCAGAGUGCCAUUCCCUUGAGGUUUCACGACUACACAACUAUCCUUAUGAUGCCUUAUCAAGCAUUAAGAAAACCAAAGACCAGCUUUGGGAAAUAAGAGAAGAGUUUCGUAUCCGACUCAGUGAGGACUGUUCUGUAACCAAGCCAUGCUAGUCACUUCUGUAAAGGGAGUGUAUUGUUUUAUGAAUGUUAGUGAUCAAGCCAUGGGGACAUUCACUGCAACCAAAGAUGCUGAAAACUCAUCGCUCAAUCAGUUUGAGUUUGCCAGAAUCAUUGUAAAUAGUAAGAACUGAAUGAAAUGUGUUUAUAUGUAAUUUAUGCACUUUAAAUGCUUUAUUAUUAUCUUGAUUAAAUAAAAAGUGUAUUGUCUUUUCAC